GGUUUCUUGUAUAUAUAAGAAAUUUAACCUGCCCACUGAAAAUUUUUGAAGGGCCGCAGUAUUUUGACUGUGCAAAGGUAGCAUAAUCAUUAGUCUUUUAAUUAGAGGCUGGUAUGAAUGGUUGGACGAGGUAAAUACUGUUUUAUAAUAAUUUUAGUUGAAUUUAGGUUUUAAGUAAAAAAACUUAAAUGUUAUUAAGGGACGAGAAGACCCUAUAGAGUUUAAUAUAUGAAGUGAUUAAUUUAGUUAUAGAUGAAUUUUUAAUUAUUAUGAAAUUUAUUUAGUUGGGGUGAUUGGAAAAUAAGUUUAACUUUUCUUUAAAAUUAAUUUUAUAAUUAGAAUAAAGAUCCAUUUGUAGUGAUUAAAAGAUUAAAUUACCUUAGGGAUAACAGCAUAAUUUUUUUUGAGAGUUCAUAUCGAAAGGAAAGAUUGUGACCUCGAUGUUGGAUUAAGAUAAAUUUUUGGGUGUAGAUGUUCAAAGUAUUAGGUCUGUUCGACCUUAAAAAUCUUACA
RNAcentral lists this ribosomal RNA (513 nucleotides) under Popa spurca spurca. RNAcentral's name for it is "partial 16S ribosomal RNA". It matches the Rfam family "Bacterial large subunit ribosomal RNA", at positions 1831 to 2600 of the family's 2925-position model. Lineage: Eukaryota; Metazoa; Arthropoda; Insecta; Mantodea; Mantidae. The record is from RNAcentral.